AACGAACGCUGGCGGCAUGCCUAACACAUGCAAGUCGAACGAGACCUUCGGGUCUAGUGGCGCACGGGUGCGUAACGCGUGGGAACCUGCCCUUAGGUUCGGAAUAACUCCCCGAAAGGGGUGCUAAUACCGGAUAAUGUCUUCGGACCAAAGAUUUUGCGCCUUUGGUUGGGCCCGCGUUGGUUUCGCUAGUUGGAAGGGUAAAAGCCUACCAAGGCGACGAUCCAUAGCUGGUCGGAGAGGAGGAUCAGCCGCACUGGGACUGGGACACGGCCCAGACGCGAAGGGGAGGCGGCGGGGGGGAAAAUAGGAGAGGGGGCAAAAGCUGAUACAGCAAUGCCGCGUGAGUGAUGAAGGCCGUAGGGUUGUAAAGCUCUUUUAGCCGGGAUGAUAAUGACAGUACCGGGAGAAUAAGCUCCGGCUAACUACGUG
RNAcentral lists this ribosomal RNA (432 nucleotides) under uncultured bacterium. Its description in RNAcentral is "partial 16S ribosomal RNA". It matches the Rfam family "Bacterial small subunit ribosomal RNA", at positions 29 to 507 of the family's 1533-position model. The record is from RNAcentral.